CCACGUCUUCGAUUUGUUUUUGCUGUCUAUAAUAAUAAAGAAAAAUUGUAUUUUUUUAAUAUUUUGUUAAAAAAAUAUUGAAAGUUCAAAAAUAUUUUACAAAACUAUUUGGAAAUUUGGCACAGACAGUUGACUAACCUCGUUCCGUCUAUUUUGUCAUUCUCAAAUGCUGGAAAAAUUGUGAGCCACGAGCCAGGAAAGCGAGUGUGGGUCAACAAAGACAUAAACAGAACGAACUCGUCAUUCAUCAAGACACGUACGCACUUUUCUCGAUUCCACUCCCCAUCUGCCCCACUAGAAAAGCAACAAUCCACUUCCAUCCAGUAGGAGCCCGCCACGUUUGAUAAAGAAUCUUUCGAAGGAUUUGCCGCCACCUUCUCUUCUCUCAUUGGCGACUUCGUCGACCUAUCGUGUAACCCUCAAAUCUUGAUCUUCUUUUGAUGCGGCCCCACCAAAAUUAAACCCCUCAGCUGUUGUUGCGAUCAUCAUAUUCAAAGUUUUGGUCUGAACACGUGGCCCCUCCAUAAGCAGCCAGCACUUGCUGAUCGUUACUGUUACCGAUAUGAUUAUCCUUCCCUUCGCAGUCGAGGAAAGAAUAAUAGAGACUAGAGAGAGAGAGAGAGAGAGGAGAAAUUCGAAAAUAAGUUUCAAGAGAUGGAGAGGUGGCGACGCACUGAUGCUUUGCUUUGUUACAGGUCUUUGAGAGAAGGAAAAGCUGAUUUUGAUCGUACGGCUGUGAUGGGGAGGGCCCACAACCCCAUGUGCUUCAACAUUCAAGCGGACAAGAUUGGACGGGUGUGAUUGCGUCAGAACUCAGAAGGAACAGUGGGGUGUCGAGGGUGACAAUACGCGUGCAUGUCAAAGAAACAAAAGAAGGCUAUGAGCUGUACGGACGUGAUUCACGUGAAACAACUGUGGAGGAAUUGCAUGGAUAUAGAAGAAAACACUUAACCUAAACGACGGCGUUUAAACUACUCGCCCUCUCUCUAAGACUCUAAGACCAGCCACUCCCUGUUAGUU
RNAcentral lists this long non-coding RNA (1020 nucleotides) under Citrus x clementina. Its description in RNAcentral is "Citrus clementina (C. clementina) long non-coding RNA (CCLE_LNC005229)". Lineage: Eukaryota; Viridiplantae; Streptophyta; Magnoliopsida; Sapindales; Rutaceae. The record is from RNAcentral.